This is an RNA transcript of Mangifera indica (mango), 3108 nucleotides long. It is a transcript of the gene named serine/threonine-protein kinase CTR1, with no coding region annotated. The record is from RefSeq and is a predicted model, not a curated record. The transcript is spliced from 16 exons. NCBI's taxonomy places the organism in Eukaryota, Viridiplantae, Streptophyta, Magnoliopsida, Sapindales, Anacardiaceae.
UAAUAUUUCUUACCAACCAUUAAGAGCCAUCGAAUGUAGCCUUCGUUUCUCUCUCCGACGCUUCCAAAUUCUAGUGCGAGAAUAGUAAAACCCAAAAUUAAAAAAUAAAUUCACCAUACUCUAUUCGACCAUGGCGUUUCCUAGGGUUUUGUGACGAUUAUCUCAAUGGAAAUGCCCGGCAGACGAUCCAAUUACUCUCUCCUUAGCCAGUAUCCCGACGAUCAAUUGUCCGUCCCUUCGUCUCUAUUUUACGAGUCCCACUCCGGCGAUGGAAAAAAUAACAACGCCGGCAAACCUAAACUGGAUUGGGAAUCCAGUAGUGGUGGCGAUUACAAAUUGAGUCAACAAUCAAACAGAAUUGGAAACUUGUACACGUCAUCGAUCGGUCUACAGCGCCAGUCUAGCGGCAGUAGUUUUGGAGAGAGCUCGAUGUCCGGAGAUUAUUACGUUCAUACUUUAUCUAGCGCCGCCGCCAAUGAGAUCGAUUCGUUUAAUGACAUGUACAAGGUUGGAGGAGGUGAUCAUAAAGCGAAGCCGCCUAAGGAGGGGUCAUCGUCCGGAAAAAGUUGGGCUCAGCAGACUGAAGAGAGUUAUCAGCUGCAGUUGGCCUUGGCGUUGAGGCUUUCAUCGGAAGCCACGUGUGGGGAUGAUCCGAAUUUUUUGGAUCCGGUUCCAGAUGAGUCCGCGUUGAGGUCCGGAUCAGCCAGCUCAGCUGAGGCGGUAUCUCAUCGGUUUUGGGUGACUGGGUGCUUAUCAUACUUCGACAAAGUUCCUGACGGAUUUUAUUUAGUUCAUGGAGUGGAUCCAUAUGUAUGGACAAUUUGCGCUGAUCUGAAUGAGAAUGGUCGUAUUCCAUCCAUUGAAUCUCUAAGAUCUGUUGAUCCUAGUAACGAUACUUCAAUUGAAGUUCUUUUGAUUGAUCGACGCAGUGAUCCUAGCCUGAAGGAACUCCAAAAUAGGGUCAUGAACAUUUCUUGUAGCUGUAUAACCACAAAAGAAGUUGUUGAUCAACUUGCAAAGCUUGUCUGCAAUCGCAUGGGAGGUUCAGCUACAAUGGGGGAAGAUGACUUUGUUCCCAUCUGGAGAGAGUGCAGUGAUGAUAUAAAAGAUUGCUUAGGAUCUGUGGUAGUACCUAUAGGCAGCCUAUCUGUUGGUCUCUGCAGACAUAGGACUUUACUGUUCAAAGUUCUAGCAGACGCAAUUGAUUUACCUUGUCGAAUUGCAAAGGGUUGCAAAUAUUGCAAACGAGGUGACGCUUCCUCUUGUCUUGUUAGGUUUGGACUUGACAGGGAGUAUUUAGUUGAUUUGAUAGGGAAGCCAGGACAAUUAUUUGAGCCUGAUUCCUUGCUUAAUGGUCCAUCGUCCAUAACAAUUGCUUCCCCAUUACGUUUUCCACGACUCAAAUCAGCUGAACCUACUAUGGAUUUCAAGUUGCUGGCAAAACAAUAUUUUUCAGACUGUCAGUCACUUAAUCUUGUAUUUGAUGAUUCAUUAGCAGCUUCUGCUGUUGAAGAAAACGAUAACAAAUUCUCAAUGUAUCCUAAGCAUUUUGAUAAGAUGGGGACAGAGAAGAACCUUGUGCAGUUCUCUAGCAGCAUCAGUGAAUCCCAGUAUGAUCUGCCUCCAAAAGGAGGUCGUCCAAGUGCCCACGAUAGAGACACUGAACUUUUUAAAUCAUGUAAUCCCACCCAGAACAUUAUUCACUCAAUGAACUCAGUUAAUGAUCCAAUUCCUUUGAAGCAUAUACCACCUAUUGGACAUAGGGACGGUCAACCACGCUUGGCAUUACCUGAUCAGAUAGUAGAUAAAGCUAAAGAUUUGAGGUUUCUUGAGGGUGCUCAAUUGAUUCCUGGUAAACCAAGUAAAGACUUUUCCCUUGAUGUGGAAGAGUUAGAUAUCCCGUGGAAUGAUCUUGUCCUGAAAGAACGAAUUGGAGCAGGUUCAUUUGGAACUGUUCAUCGUGCUGAUUGGCAUGGCUCGGAUGUUGCUGUGAAAAUUCUCAUGGAACAAGACUUUCAUGGAGAACGCUUUCGGGAAUUUUUGAGGGAGGUUACAAUAAUGAAGCGCUUACGGCAUCCAAAUAUUGUUCUUUAUAUGGGUGCGGUCACUCAGCCCCCAAACUUAGCCAUAGUGACAGAAUAUUUAUCAAGAGGCAGCUUGUAUAGGCUUUUACAUAAACCUGGUGCUCGAGAGGUGUUGGAUGAGAGGCGCCGUUUGAAUAUGGCGUAUGAUGUGGCAAAGGGAAUGAAUUAUCUUCAUCGGCGUAAUCCUCCUAUUGUUCAUAGGGACUUGAAAUCUCCAAAUCUUUUGGUUGACAAGAAGUAUACUGUGAAGGUUUGUGAUUUUGGACUUUCCCGUUUGAAGGCAAACACUUUUCUGUCUUCAAAAUCUGCAGCAGGGACUCCUGAGUGGAUGGCACCAGAAGUUCUCCGUGAUGAGCCAUCAAAUGAGAAGUCUGACAUAUACAGCUUUGGUGUAAUACUGUGGGAGCUCGCUACAUUGCAGCAGCCCUGGGGCAACUUAAAUCCAGCACAGGUUGUAGCGGCUGUUGGUUUUAAGGGGAAGAGGCUUGAGAUUCCACUUGAUUUAAAUCCUCAAGUAGCUUCAAUAAUUGAGGCUUGCUGGGUUAGUGAGCCUCGGAAACGUCCUUCCUUCUCUUUCAUCAUGGAAUUGUUAAGGCCCUUGAUCAAACCUCUUACGCCUCAGCCGGGAGGCCCAGGUCGUGCAGACAUGCAAUUGCUUACUUGAGUAACGCCGAAGAGUUGUUAUUCAUGCACAUAAUACAUCAUUUUUUUCUUUUAGGUUUCUAUGCCCAGUAGCAAGACACUGUUUAGGUAGUCCGAGAAAUCAUUGUUGUACAUGUCUGUUCUCACGGCUGAUUGGGCAUUCUGAUUUUUGAAGAAAGUCAAGUAAUUUCCAAUGCCCUCUUUGCCUUCUUCCUACUUUUCUCACGACAAAUAUUAUUAUUUGCAUUGAUUUGUUUAACUAGUACAUUACUCCAUGUCAUUAUGGAAAGUUGUAUAAUUCUGUCUCUCAUGAUUUUGUAUGUAAAAAUUGUAACUAUAAAAAUUAGUUAAUGAGAAGCAGCUAUACCGGUAUCGCAGGACA